This 26-nucleotide non-coding RNA is filed under the name Mus musculus (house mouse). Lineage: Eukaryota; Metazoa; Chordata; Mammalia; Rodentia; Muridae. The record is from RNAcentral.
UGAGUCUGGAAUUGUGGAUGGAAGCU